GGGCCGGUGGUCUAGCGGCUAUGACACAUCGUUUACACCGAUGAGGUCGCAGGUUCGAAUCCUGCCCGGCCCA
Molecule: transfer RNA, 73 nt
Filed under: Candidatus Iainarchaeum sp.
Lineage: Archaea; Nanobdellati; Candidatus Iainarchaeota; Candidatus Iainarchaeia; Candidatus Iainarchaeales; Candidatus Iainarchaeaceae
Description: tRNA-Val
Rfam family: tRNA
About the family: Transfer RNA (tRNA) molecules are approximately 80 nucleotides in length. Their secondary structure includes four short double-helical elements and three loops (D, anti-codon, and T loops).
Source: RNAcentral